This 451-nucleotide ribosomal RNA is filed under the name uncultured bacterium. RNAcentral describes it as "bacterial SSU rRNA". It matches the Rfam family "Bacterial small subunit ribosomal RNA", at positions 29 to 524 of the family's 1533-position model. The record is from RNAcentral.
AACGAACGCUGGCGGCAUGCUUAACACAUGCAAGUCGAACGAUGGCUUCGGCCAUAGUGGCGGACGGGUGAGUAGCGCGUGGGAACCUGCCCCGAGGUACGGAAUAACCGCUGGAAACGGCGGCUAAUACCGUAUGAGCCCUGAGGGGGAAAGAUUUAUCGCCUUGGGAGGGGCCCGCGUCCGAUUAGGUAGUUGGUGAGGUAAAGGCUCACCAAGCCUGCGAUCGGUAGCUGGUCUGAGAGGAUGAUCAGCCACACUGGGACUGAGACACGGCCCAGACUUCUACGGGAGGCAGCAGUGGGGAAUAUUGGACAAUGGGGGGCAACCCUGAUCCAGCAAUGCCGCGUGAGUGAUGAAGGCCUUCGGUUGGUAAAGCUCUUUCUACCACGGCGAUGAUGACGGUAGUGGGAGAAGAAGCCCCGGCUAACUUCGUGCCAGCAGCCGCGGUAAU